Molecule: ribosomal RNA, 1467 nt
Filed under: Bacillus pumilus
Lineage: Bacteria; Bacillati; Bacillota; Bacilli; Caryophanales; Bacillaceae
Description: bacterial SSU rRNA
Rfam family: Bacterial small subunit ribosomal RNA
Source: RNAcentral
GGGAAUUGGCGGGCUGCUAAUACAUGCAAGUCGAGCGGACAGAAGGGAGCUUGCUCCCGGAUGUUAGCGGCGGACGGGUGAGUAACACGUGGGUAACCUGCCUGUAAGACUGGGAUAACUCCGGGAAACCGGAGCUAAUACCGGAUAGUUCCUUGAACCGCAUGGUUCAAGGAUGAAAGACGGUUUCGGCUGUCACUUACAGAUGGACCCGCGGCGCAUUAGCUAGUUGGUGGGGUAAUGGCUCACCAAGGCGACGAUGCGUAGCCGACCUGAGAGGGUGAUCGGCCACACUGGGACUGAGACACGGCCCAUACUCCUACGGGAGGCAGCAGUAGGGAAUCUUCCGCAAUGGACGAAAGUCUGACGGAGCAACGCCGCGUGAGUGAUGAAGGUUUUCGGAUCGUAAAGCUCUGUUGUUAGGGAAGAACAAGUGCGAGAGUAACUGCUCGCACCUUGACGGUACCUAACCAGAAAGCCACGGCUAACUACGUGCCACCAGCCGCGGUAAUACGUAGGUGGCAAGCGUUGUCCGGAAUUAUUGGGCGUAAAGGGCUCGCAGGCGGUUUCUUAAGUCUGAUGUGAAAGCCCCCGGCUCAACCGGGGAGGGUCAUUGGAAACUGGGAAACUUGAGUGCAGAAGAGGAGAGUGGAAUUCCACGUGUAGCGGUGAAAUGCGUAGAGAUGUGGAGGAACACCAGUGGCGAAGGCGACUCUCUGGUCUGUAACUGACGCUGAGGAGCGAAAGCGUGGGGAGCGAACAGGAUUAGAUACCCUGGUAGUCCACGCCGUAAACGAUGAGUGCUAAGUGUUAGGGGGUUUCCGCCCCUUAGUGCUGCAGCUAACGCAUUAAGCACUCCGCCUGGGGAGUACGGUCGCAAGACUGAAACUCAAAGGAAUUGACGGGGGCCCGCACAAGCGGUGGAGCAUGUGGUUUAAUUCGAAGCAACGCGAAGAACCUUACCAGGUCUUGACAUCCUCUGACAACCCUAGAGAUAGGGCUUUCCCUUCGGGGACAGAGUGACAGGUGGUGCAUGGUUGUCGUCAGCUCGUGUCGUGAGAUGUUGGGUUAAGUCCCGCAACGAGCGCAACCCUUGAUCUUAGUUGCCAGCAUUCAGUUGGGCACUCUAAGGUGACUGCCGGUGACAAACCGGAGGAAGGUGGGGAUGACGUCAAAUCAUCAUGCCCCUUAUGACCUGGGCUACACACGUGCUACAAUGGACAGAACAAAGGGCUGCAAGACCGCAAGGUUUAGCCAAUCCCAUAAAUCUGUUCUCAGUUCGGAUCGCAGUCUGCAACUCGACUGCGUGAAGCUGGAAUCGCUAGUAAUCGCGGAUCAGCAUGCCGCGGUGAAUACGUUCCCGGGCCUUGUACACACCGCCCGUCACACCACGAGAGUUUGCAACACCCGAAGUCGGUGAGGUAACCUUUAUGGAUUAUCCGCUACGCCGAGUUUGUGACACGGGCCACA